AGUGAACGCUGGCGGUAGGCCUAACACAUGCAAGUCGAACGGCAGCACAGUAAGAGCUUGCUCUUACGGGUGGCGAGUGGCGGACGGGUGAGGAAUACAUCGGAAUCUACUUUUUCGUGGGGGAUAACGUAGGGAAACUUACGCUAAUACCGCAUACGACCUACGGGUGAAAGCAGGGGAUCUUCGGACCUUGCGCGAUUGAAUGAGCCGAUGUCGGAUUAGCUAGUUGGCGGGGUAAAGGCCCACCAAGGCGACGAUCCGUAGCUGGUCUGAGAGGAUGAUCAGCCACACUGGAACUGGGACACGGACCAGACGCCUACGGGAGGCAGCAGUGGGGAAUAGUGGACAAUGGGGGCAAGCCUGAUCCAGUCAUACCGCGUGGGUGAAGAAGGCCUUCGGGUUGUAAAGCCCUUUUGUUGGGAAAGAAAAGCAGCAGGUUAAUACCCCGCUGUUCUGACGGUACCCAAAGAAUAAGCACCGGCUAACUUCGUG
RNAcentral lists this ribosomal RNA (492 nucleotides) under uncultured bacterium. RNAcentral describes it as "partial 16S ribosomal RNA". It matches the Rfam family "Bacterial small subunit ribosomal RNA", at positions 29 to 507 of the family's 1533-position model. The record is from RNAcentral.